GACGAACGCUGGCGGCGUGCUUAAUGCAUGCAAGUCGAGGGAGAACCAUCCUGUUCGUAAGAUCAAGAUGGGGAAACCGGCGUACGGGUGCGUAACACGUGAGAAACCUGCCCUUGAGAUCGGGAUAGCCCGGGGAAACCCGGAUUAAUACCGAAUACCUUCUUUGGAUCGCAUGAUCCGCUGAAGAAAUGCUCAGGCGCUCAGGGAUGGUCUCGCGGCCUAUCAGCUUGUUGGUGAGGUAACGGCUCACCAAGGCUCCGACGGGUAGCUGGUCUGAGAGGACGAUCAGCCACACUGGGACUGAGACACGGCCCAG
This 316-nucleotide ribosomal RNA is filed under the name uncultured bacterium. Its description in RNAcentral is "bacterial SSU rRNA". It matches the Rfam family "Bacterial small subunit ribosomal RNA", at positions 28 to 334 of the family's 1533-position model. The record is from RNAcentral.